Molecule: ribosomal RNA, 253 nt
Filed under: uncultured bacterium
Lineage: Bacteria
Description: partial 16S ribosomal RNA
Rfam family: Bacterial small subunit ribosomal RNA
Source: RNAcentral
UACAGAGGGUGCGAGCGUUAAUCGGAAUUACUGGGCGUAAAGCGUGCGCAGGCGGUGAUGUAAGACAGGUGUGAAAUCCCCGGGCUUAACCUGGGAACUGCAUUUGUGACUGCAUCGCUGGAGUGCGGCAGAGGGGGAUGGAAUUCCGCGUGUAGCAGUGAAAUGCGUAGAUAUGCGGAGGAACACCGAUGGCGAAGGCAAUCCCCUGGACCUGUACUGACGCUCAUGCACGAAAGCGUGGGGAGCAAACAGG